Podarcis lilfordi (Lilford's wall lizard) is the source of this 836-nucleotide non-coding RNA. The record is from the annotation of a GenBank genome assembly. Lineage: Eukaryota; Metazoa; Chordata; Lepidosauria; Squamata; Lacertidae.
GGGAAUAUUUUAAUAAGACAUCCAAACGCUGCUCAUUCAUUCUCCUAAUUCUCCUAUGUGUGUUCUCUUAUACCACUCAACAUUUCACCUCCUAGUUGUUGCUGAACUGCAACUUCCAUCACCCCUGAUCGCUGACCAGGAAAGGAGUCUGAACACAUCUGGAGAGUUAUAGGUUCGCCAUCCUUGAUCUACCUGGUCAGUCCCUUCUGAGCUGUUUUGAUUCCAUGGCCACCAAAGGGAUUAACCAGGUUAAGCUGAAUGUUCUCUAGCAAACACAUUUGACAUGAAAAAGGAACUGAGUGGGUGUGUUUGCCCAAACCCCUCAGGUCUCCCUUUCUUAGUCCUCUCACAUUACUUUUCAGUCAGGUAUUGUUAGUCUCAUUUCCACUCUUCCUCCAGUUUACAGUGACGCCAUGGAGCCAAUCAGAUGAUGUCACCAAGAGCAAGCACUGAGGGCAAAGAGGAGCCUUGCUCUCAUCCUGAAUUAGCUUCAGAGACAUCAUCAUGAAGCCAGUUCUGACUGAAUAAAUGAUGAUAUCACUACUAUUAGGAAGAAGGAGUGAAGCUGGAGGCAAUUGUGCUCAACACUCAAGUCUGGUAGUCCUUCAUCUUAGCAUUGGACAUUAGCAUUACAUUCUACCAUAUCCUUUUGAAGAGGUGAGCCAUUGCUGUAACUUCCUUGCCCACCUGUACAAUAAAUGCUAACUUUCACAAAAUGUCUGACAUGUACCCUAAUAUAUACUCAGAUACGACUCUCCACGUUCCACACUAAGUAUAUGAACAGUGUCUUUGAUGCAGCUCACUUUUUCUGUUAAAAAGUAAUAAACAGGCAGGGU